This 310-nucleotide ribosomal RNA is filed under the name uncultured Methanolinea sp. RNAcentral's name for it is "bacterial SSU rRNA". It matches the Rfam family "Archaeal small subunit ribosomal RNA", at positions 1028 to 1338 of the family's 1478-position model. The record is from RNAcentral. Lineage: Archaea; Methanobacteriati; Methanobacteriota; Methanomicrobia; Methanomicrobiales; Methanoregulaceae.
GUUAAGUCAGGCAACGAGCGAGACCCACGCCAACAGUUGCCAGCAUGUCCUCCGGGAUGAUGGGGACACUGUUGGGACCGCCUCUGCUAAAGAGGAGGAAGGAAUGGGCAACGGUAGGUCAGCAUGCCCCGAAUUAUCCGGGCUACACGCGGGCUACAAUGGUCAGGACAAUGGGUAUCGACACCGAGAGGUGGAGGCAAUCUCCUAAACCUGUCCUUAGUUCGGAUUGUGGGCUGCAACUCGCCCACAUGAAGCUGGAAUCUGUAGUAAUCGCGUCUCAAAUGGCGCGGUGAAUAUGUCCCUGCUCCUU